UGGGAACAUACCCUUCGGUUCGGAAUAACUCAGGGAAACUUGGGCUAAUACCGGAUACGUCCGUGAGGAGAAAGAUUCAUCGCCGAAGGAUUGGCCCGCGUAAGAUUAGCUAGUUGGUGAGGUAACGGCUCACCAAGGCUAUGAUCUUUAGCUGGUCUGAGAGGACGAUCAGCCACACUGGGACUGAGACACGGCCCAGACUCCUACGGGAGGCAG
Molecule: ribosomal RNA, 216 nt
Filed under: uncultured bacterium
Lineage: Bacteria
Description: partial 16S ribosomal RNA
Rfam family: Bacterial small subunit ribosomal RNA
Source: RNAcentral